GUUGGUGUCAGAGGAAAAGGGGUCAAGGGAGGAAAGCUGAAAAGUGCUGGUGAGUGAGUGGAGAGUUAAAAGGAAGAACCAGGAAGAUCCUGAUAAAGACACUGUCUGCACUCCACUCAGAUGCCCUUUGAGUCUAUGCGCUGUUUCUGGGCUCAUCCUCCAGCCUCAAUGUGUUUGCUGACACACAGCAUGUCCUGUGGGACUGGAGAAAUAUGGAGAAUGCAGCACACUUGCUUCCUACUGAAGAUUAAAAUCAAAUUGUUUUGGGACAGCAGAGGAUGAAGAAACUCAUUUUGACUGAAGUUAUUGGAUGAGACAUGGCUGUGGACAACUUCAGAGAAGAUAUAUUUAAGCAGAACCUUAAACUUAUGUCAGAAUUUUUAAUCACCAGAGAUCAGCAAAGCCAAAGGCAUAUAGACUAUUUCUCAGAUGCACUUGUCAAGAUGAGAGAAUGUGGGCAGAGGAAAUGCCUGAAAAACCAGAUGGCACAAGUUACUCAGAAGAAAUGAAAGGAUUUUCCAUAAUUCAAAUAGGAGGUGGAAGAGGAAGUGUGGGAGUAAUUACUGGAUUAAGAUCACUGAAAGACAAGAUUGUCUCUAAGGUGAAGUGAAGUGAAUGACAUAGGCAUUGUGAUGCAGCGUUAGGCUACUACAGUAUUGACCUUCUGACCAUACAUCAGAAAGAGGAUCAUCUGCUUCUGGUGAUCUUGGAUUAUCAAGCUAUGACAAUGUUGAUGGUUGCAUGUCAGGAGCAGAUAAUAUUGAUGACUAACAGAAGACUGAGAAGAAAAGAAGCUUGCUCAAGGUCACAUAGAGCUGGAAUUUAAAUUCAGAUCUAUUAUACUCUUAAGGACUGUGGAAGGCAGAGGCUAUGUCAAAUUGCAGAAACUUAUCUAUUCUCCGUGACCAUGACUCCUGGCCAUAACUGAGUGGAUGGUGGAUAGGACACCCGAGCCAAGUUGGUGCAAUCAUAUUGGCUCUUUCAGGAUGUUGGAAUUGGGAUUUAGAGACCUGUGACUUAUAUGAGUAUACUCGGGAGUUAUAAGGUAAUGGCUGUCCUGUAUGUACAUAGGCAGAGACAACAGGUAUGGAGAGAGAGAAUGAUAAAGCAGCCAUAUAGAAGAAAGACAGACCAUGUGUUCCUUGAGAGAGAGAGUGUGUAAGAGAGAAAGGUAGAGGUAGGUUGGGAGAGAGUAACAGAGAGAGAGAGAAAGAGAGAGAGAAAAUGAUAAAAGAGUAGCUACUUGGAUUUUUGAUCUGUCUCCAGGCCUUCUGAGGCCUGCUUCCAUUUCCACAUACCAUCAUUCAAGAUAAUCUCUGUGAUGAGUCUUUGUAACUUGCACACCAAAAAAAAAAAAAAAAAAGUCUUCAUGCAUGAUAAAUUAUUCCGUGCAGUUCCACAGAGAUCUUCUAAGGGAAAGAAAAUAUAAGUCCACUUAACCCAAUCUCAGAAUGGCCUUAUUUUAGUUUUGUGAUGGUUGCUAGUGGUCCAGAGUAUUUUUCAGGUUCCAAGGGAGACAUGGAGAUGUGGGACUAUUCAAACAGCUGGAACUUGAGGAUGUACUUGGGGCUAUAGUUAGAGGUGAUGAUAGAAGUGAAAAAAGUGAAUAAGAUGCUCAACUUUUAAUUUUACAAGCUCAGACACUCAAGAAACCAAAACAUCGUGAAUGGAAAAGAAAAGAUAGGGUACAUUUCUAACUUUAAAAUAAUUAUAAUCUAGGUAGAGAAAAGUAAAAUAUACACAUAUGCACCCAGAACUAAAUGAGUGCUACAGAUUAUAAGCAUUAUAAGAUAUAAAGAAGAUAGCUAUUAUUGCUGGGCUAUUGUUUUCAGGUAUUAAUAACGUCAGGUUUGGCUUAGGCUAUAAAGGAUAACUUUGCUCUCACAAUGGAAAAUGUAGUGACUUGAGGUCAGCUUUUCUACUUACUAGAUAUGUGACUGUGAUCAGUCACUUUACCUUUCCAAUUUCACAGCAGUUUCCUCCUCUGUAAAAUGAGGGCUGUGUAUUGGAUUCAUUAAUUCAUUCAAAACAUAAACUUUCAGUGCCCACUGUAAUGUACAGAACUAGGAAUACUGCAUAAAUACCAGUCUUCUAAAAAGACUGUCACUCUGAUGUGUCUAUGAACAAAAGACAGUGGGAGGCAACUAAGCUGCCUACAGGUAAAGAAAAACUCCAUUGAGACCAUGUUUGGAUGAAUAGGAGUUGUUAGGUGAAUCCGAUAAUGAUGGAACCUUCCGGAGAAAGGGUUGCAUAGAUCAUUGCAAAUGUUUCUUGUAGCAUUAAUAUUUUUCUUUGCUUCUGCUUUGUUUAGAGGAGGAGGAAGGGAGUGAACAAAUGUUGGGUAGGAGUUAAGCGUAUGAAUUGAAGAGAAGAUAGAAGGAAAUAAUUUCCUGGGCUUCUUCAAACCCCUAAAAUGUAUUCAAAGUGAAUUCCAUGAAGGAAAAUACAUGAAAAAGCAGAUAAUUAAAACCUCCUUUGCCUCCUCUGUAUUUCUGUCUUGUAUAAGAUCUUAGAGAUACUGCAAAAAUGAUAUAAUAGGAUUCAUGUCCCUCAUAGACGUUUAGGACUCCCAUCCAGAGGCAGUGUGUGGAGUGCUUAAGAAUUUGAGUUUUGAAGACAGAUCACAUGCUAGCUAACACCACCACCUACUAGUUGUAAGAUCUUUAAAAAGUUUAAACUUUUUUGUGCCUUUGUCUUCUCAUCUGUAAAAUGGAGAUGAUAACAAUAGCUACUUCCUCCUAUGGUGAGAAUUAAAUGUAUUAAACAUAUAAAGUGCCUAGAACCAGCACAUAAAAGCACACUGGCAUUUAAAAAUAAUAGCAUAUUAGUUAUUAUUACCUAUUAUUCCAUAGAGAGUUCACCACCGAGGUGAGGUAAUGGCAAUAUGCCUCCCUACAUUAGUGAGUAACCUGAGGGUGCUUCCCUGUGCCUGGUCUUCAAUAGGGAUGGCUUAGAAUUUGCUUAUUUAGUCAUGAUACAAAAGUAUGUCCAAUGAGGCCCUAUUUCAGGCACGGUGAACUAUAUGAAAGCAGAAAUAAAUAAACCGUGAAGUACAAUAUUCCAACACAAGGCAGUACAUUUUAAAUAUAAAACAAAUAUUUAGGAGCUCAGAGGAGGCAGAUGUGACAGCUGCCUGAAACAUCAGGGGACACUUCUUGGGUGGCAUGGGAAGUGUACAAUGACAGACAUCAUUUCAGGGAUUUAAGUCAGGAUUUGCCUCAGCUGGUUUGCGCACCCUCUUUGCAUUCACAAGCCUUUCUUUCAUCUCCCCUGAGCUUUUAGAGCAAAAUCUGAUCCAGAGACUGGGGAUGCUGGAGGAGCGUCAAGGCUGGGAAAGUAACAUGCACUGUGUUCGCAAUCAACAGAAAAGAUAUUUUUAAACAAAAACAAUUUUCCAAGUUUCCAGGAAGAGAAACAAAAGGCUUUUCUAAAAUGAAAGAAACUGUUCUUCUCAUUCUGUGACUUUUAUGUCACUUGGACAACAAGCCAGUGCUUAGGAACGGUUAUUUUCCUGUCGACAUCGCUGCAUGGAUACUUCUUAGAAGGACAUAACAGCAUUAGCACUCAGUCCCAGGUUCUGCUCACCCUCCAAUGGCAGUCGUCUUCAAAAACAAUAAAGAUAUCUGUGCUUGGUC
Pan troglodytes (chimpanzee) is the source of this 3635-nucleotide long non-coding RNA. RefSeq lists it as uncharacterized. The transcript is spliced from 9 exons. Lineage: Eukaryota; Metazoa; Chordata; Mammalia; Primates; Hominidae. The record is from RefSeq and is a predicted model, not a curated record.